UGGGUAACCUGCCUCAAAGAGGGGAAUAGCCUCCCCGAAAAGGGAGAUUAAUACCGCAUAAUAUGUUUUAGUCGCAUGACUUAAACAUCAAAGGGUUUUCUUUUAGAAAUUCCACUUUGAGAUGGACCCGCGGCGCAUUAGCUAGUUGGUGAGGUAACGGCUCACCAAGGCAACGAUGCGUGGCCGACCUGAGAGGGUGAUCGGCCANAUUGGAACUGAGACACGGUCCAGACCUCCGUACGGGAGCAG
This 249-nucleotide ribosomal RNA is filed under the name uncultured bacterium. RNAcentral's name for it is "partial 16S ribosomal RNA". It matches the Rfam family "Bacterial small subunit ribosomal RNA", at positions 118 to 347 of the family's 1533-position model. The record is from RNAcentral.